CAAAUCUUGGCUUAAUCCCAACUUCUAGCUGCAUCUGUCUGGUUUGACAAUAUAACUGCAACUAUACCAAUAUCUGCCAAUGAUCUUCGCUUCUCCCUCACCAUAUAACAUGGCCUCUCCCAAAAUUUAAGGUGAAGCUUUAGGAUUAAUAGUUCCUACCAAGACAUCGAGUGCCAUAAGUAAAGGUGUCUAAGCUAAACAUCCGGGGGAAAUCAAAAUGCAUUGCAAAUGACUGUUCUCAAGCUGUAUCCUAACACAACGGUACAUUUCGCAAAUAUCUUCUGUGAUUGCUACUGGCUGUAAACGAAACCGAAGUAGAAUUACAGGGUCUGCCGUAAGAACAUCGUUGAGAGAAUAGCUUGUAGACAUGGCCGCCGAUCCAUCAAAAACUACGAGAAGCAUUAUACUGGACCUUUCUUCUUUUAUGACGCAAUGAUGAGACAAGAAAUUUCGGCACGACCCUAUAUCAUAUAAUGAGAUAUGUCCUAAGUCAAGGGAGAAGAAUCCGCAAUAAGCUUCCUGGUAGGAGUCUUCCAAGACAUCUAGAUUGAGCUUGGCAGGCGGCCGAACACAAUAAUCACCAGCUGACAAACGAACCACGUGUCUUACGAGAUGUGCUUCAUAGUCCAAUUCUUCCUUAGUAGCGCGUAUAACUGGCUCGGCGCGGCUUUUCACAUAUAACAGGUAAAAAGAAGCGUUUCCGACUCCAUAAAAUAUAUAUAUAGUAUAUUCUUGAUCAGGAUAAGGGCUAGAAAAUACUUGGCAUGCAGAUUCCUGGGUGCCACGCCCACUCUUGCGCCCACAAUGUGCGAAAACCAGUAGCGCCUACAGUUUUUAUGAUAGAAACGAAAUUCUAACUGAAAUCUAUUUGUUUCAUCAAUAACUAUCGAAUCAC
Molecule: long non-coding RNA, 895 nt
Organism: Drosophila biarmipes
Lineage: Eukaryota; Metazoa; Arthropoda; Insecta; Diptera; Drosophilidae
Exons: 3
Source: RefSeq, a predicted model, not a curated record